Molecule: ribosomal RNA, 253 nt
Filed under: uncultured bacterium
Lineage: Bacteria
Description: partial 16S ribosomal RNA
Rfam family: Bacterial small subunit ribosomal RNA
Source: RNAcentral
UACGUAGGGUGCGAGCGUUGUCCGGAAUUAUUGGGCGUAAAGAGCUCGUAGGCGGCGUGUCACGUCGGAUGUGAAAGCCCAUGGCUUAACUGUGGGUCUGCAUUCGAUACGGGCAGGCUGGAGUUCGGUAGGGGAGAUCGGAAUUCCUGGUGUAGCGGUGAAAUGCGCAGAUAUCAGGAGGAACACCGGUGGCGAAGGCGGAUCUCUGGGCCGAUACUGACGCUGAGGAGCGAAAGCAUGGGGAGCGAACAGG